GGGGAUGUAGUUAAAAAUAACAUCUAAUUUGCAAUUAGAAAGAACUAUUAUAGUCUUCCUCA
Molecule: transfer RNA, 62 nt
Filed under: Notopteryx soror
Lineage: Eukaryota; Metazoa; Arthropoda; Insecta; Hemiptera; Coreidae
Description: tRNA-Ala
Rfam family: tRNA
About the family: Transfer RNA (tRNA) molecules are approximately 80 nucleotides in length.
Source: RNAcentral